GCUACGGGAGGCUGCAGUGAGGAAUAUUGGUCAAUGGACGAGAGUCUGAACCAGCCAAGUAGCGUGAAGGAUGACUGCCCUAUGGGUUGUAAACUUCUUUUAUAAAGGAAUAAAACGAGGCACGUGUGCCUUUUUGCAUGUACUUUAUGAAUAAGGAUCGGCUAACUCCGUGCCAGCAGCCGCGGUAAUACGGAGGAACCGAGCGUUAUCCGGAUUUAGUGGGUUUAAAGGGAUAGUAGAUGGGUUGUUAAGUCAGUUGUCAAAGUUUGCGGCUCAACCGUAAAAUUGCAAUUGAAACUGGCAGUCUUGAGUACAGAUGAGGUAGGCGGAAGUAGUGGUGUAGCGGUGAAAUGCUUAGAUAUCACGAAGAACCCCGAUUGCGAAGGCAGCUUACUAAACUGUGACUGACAUUGAUGCACGAACGUGUGGGUAUCAAACAGGAUUAGAUACCCCAGUAGUC
This 460-nucleotide ribosomal RNA is filed under the name uncultured bacterium. Its description in RNAcentral is "partial 16S ribosomal RNA". It matches the Rfam family "Bacterial small subunit ribosomal RNA", at positions 338 to 795 of the family's 1533-position model. The record is from RNAcentral.